Long non-coding RNA from Solanum pennellii, 2259 nucleotides. RefSeq lists it as uncharacterized. The transcript is spliced from 2 exons. NCBI's taxonomy places the organism in Eukaryota, Viridiplantae, Streptophyta, Magnoliopsida, Solanales, Solanaceae. The record is from RefSeq and is a predicted model, not a curated record.
ACCUUAACCCAACAGCAAACCCAGGCCCAAUUCCUGACCUUUAACCCAACCCAUCAAUUUUUUCUCCUCCUUUGCGCGUGACCAGGAGAGUAUGCAGCCCAGGACCAGUCGCCAAUCCUGAUACCUCGUGAUGGUGCUCGACCCCAACAAGCUUGUACGAGCUUCGUGCAAAAGGAGCAGCAACAGAAGGCGGUACGAUUUUUCUCGUUGUCUUACUUAACCUCACUCUCAAGUCGUACGAUGUCCAGCAGUAGAGGAGGCACGUGAGAUCAUCCUUGAUAGCGCGAGAUCGAGCCACAGAGCUCCCCAAGGACGAGAGAUUGAUCUUAUACGUUCAUUCUCCCCUUCCAUUUUUGGAAAAAAGGGUAGAAGAUGCAGACAAAGCUGUUCCACCAAAAUUGGUGAUUCUUUUGAAUCUUCAAAGGGAAACUCGUAAUGGGUCUAGAUUUUAGACCCGAGUUCUCCCCACCCAUGAAAAAAUUGUAGCCCUAACCCUUGCUAUAUAAGGUCCCUUUCUAUUAUUGAAAUAGGGGGAAGAAAAAAAUUUCUGAAAAAAAAGGGUCGAAAACUUUAGAGUUAGAAAUUGAAGUUGGAAUUUCCUUCGAAUAUAAACACUUAGAACAACCUAAGCGAAAAUAAAUAGGACAUAUACAUAAAAAUACAUUCUGGUUUGUUUCAAAGUUUAAGUUGAUGUUUGGGUUUUUUGCUCUCUGCCUAUAUUUCAAACUUCGUGGUCAAGAAUAAGCUCUUUGCUUGUUUCUGGUCUCUGUUCGCCGCCCUAUUAAAGAAAUUAUCCAAAAGAUGCAACAUCCAACCAAAAGAAGUCGAUACACCGUAUGACUCUCAAUUUCUUUCUAAGUGGAGAAAUCCUUUAUAAGAGGACUGCAGAUUUGGGCCUCCUCAGAUGAGUUGAUGCUGCAAAGCUGAUUGAACAUACACACUCUGGAGUUUGCUGUACGCAUAUGAAUGGGCUCACUUUGGCGAGAAAGAUCCUUUGAGCCGGGUAUUUAUGGAUGACUAUGGAGAAUGAUUGUUGCAAGUUUGUGAGAAAAUGCCAUAAAUAUCAAGUGCACGGUAAUUUGAUCCCGUGCCACCUCACAAACUUAAUGCUAUGAGCUCACCUUGGCCAUUUGUAGCUUUGGGUAUGGAUGUCAUCGGUCCGGUAGAGCCAGUCGCUUCUAAUGGACACAUAUUUAUUUUGGUUGCCAUUGAUUAUUUCACCAAAUGGGUGGAAGCAUCUUUGUACAAGUCGGUAACCAUGAAAGUUGUGAUGGAUUUUUUUCGCAACAACUUGAUAUGCAGAUUUGGAGUACCAAAAUGGAUCAAUACUGAUAAUGGGGCAAAUAUUAAUAGUCACUUGAUGAGAGAUAUAUGUGAGCAAUUUAAGGUCACUCAUCGAAACUCAACCGCUUAGCGCCCUCAAAUGAAUAGAGCUGUAGAAGUCGCCAAUAAGAAUAUCAAGAAGAUGCUGAGAAAAAUAAUUGACAAUCACCGAGGUUGACAUGAGAUGUUGCCAUAUGAUUUAUUGGGUUAUCGGACGACUAUCAAAAUGUCGACUGGAGCUACUUUAUACUUGCUAGUGUAUGGGACAGAAGCAGUCAUACCUGUUGAAGUCGAAAUACUGUCUUUGAGAAUCAUCCAAGAAGAUGAGUUAACUAAUGCUAAAUGGGUCAGCAAGCGGAUUGAUCAACUAACUUUGAUUGAUGAGAAGAGAAUGCUUGCCGUUUGUCAUGGUCAGUUGUAUCGACAGAGGCUGAUUCGCGCUUUUCAUAAAAGCGUAUGAGCUAGAACUUUUGAAAUCGGUCAGUUAGUACUUAAGACCAUUUUUCCUCAUCAAGAUGAGUAUAAAGGAAAAUUCGCACCAAACUGUCAAGAACUUUGCAUGGUUCGUAAAGUAUUAUCUGGAGGUGCUUUGGUCCUGUCAGAGAUGGAUGGCACUACGUGGCCGAAACCAUUCAACUCAGAUGCUUUCAAGAGAAAAUAUGUGUAAAGUUUCAGCUUUUAUUCCUGUCAUUUACUUGUAAUUGUUCUAUUUUGCUAGUAUCUGUUUGGUUUAAAUUUUAUCCCUCUUGUGAUGAAGUACCUCUGACCUGAAUUCUCAGGAAUGAGAUACUUAGGUGGCCUUUGUCGGCCUCGGUCACCCCAUUUAUCCCUUUUUAAUAUUUCUUUGUAUUUGAACUACGUUCGACUUAAAUUCUCAAGAAUGAGAUACGUAGGCAGCUUAUGUGGGCCUUAAUCGGUUACUUUGUAAGUUUCUUA